ACGCUCACUUUGGCAGCACAUAUACUAAAAAUUGGAAAGAUACAGAGAAGAUUAGCAUGGCCCCUGUGCAAGGAUGAAGUUAGUGAANCAUUCUAUAUUUUU
Molecule: small nuclear RNA, 102 nt
Filed under: Neotoma lepida (desert woodrat)
Lineage: Eukaryota; Metazoa; Chordata; Mammalia; Rodentia; Cricetidae
Source: RNAcentral